GCCAAUUUAGCUCAGGUGGUAGAGCAACUGAUUCGUAAUCAGUAGGCCGCCAGUUCGAGUCUGGCAAUUGGCACCA
Molecule: transfer RNA, 76 nt
Filed under: Yersinia enterocolitica
Lineage: Bacteria; Pseudomonadati; Pseudomonadota; Gammaproteobacteria; Enterobacterales; Yersiniaceae
Description: tRNA-Thr(cgt)
Rfam family: tRNA
About the family: Transfer RNA (tRNA) molecules are approximately 80 nucleotides in length. Their secondary structure includes four short double-helical elements and three loops (D, anti-codon, and T loops).
Source: RNAcentral